Molecule: transfer RNA, 74 nt
Organism: Ipomoea nil (Japanese morning glory)
Lineage: Eukaryota; Viridiplantae; Streptophyta; Magnoliopsida; Solanales; Convolvulaceae
Rfam family: tRNA
About the family: Transfer RNA (tRNA) molecules are approximately 80 nucleotides in length. Their secondary structure includes four short double-helical elements and three loops (D, anti-codon, and T loops).
Source: Rfam
GGCCUAUUAGCUUAGUUGGUUAGAGCGUCGUGCUAAUAAUGUGAAGGUCACAGGUUCGAGACGUGUAUGGGCCA